Molecule: ribosomal RNA, 460 nt
Filed under: uncultured bacterium
Lineage: Bacteria
Description: partial 16S ribosomal RNA
Rfam family: Bacterial small subunit ribosomal RNA
Source: RNAcentral
CCUACGGGGGGCAGCAGUGAGGAAUAUUGGUCAAUGGACGAGAGUCUGAACCAGCCAAGUAGCGUGAAGGAAGACUGCUCUAUGGGUUGUAAACUUCUUUUAUAUGGGAGUAAAAUGUUCCACGUGUGGGAUUUUGUAUGUACCAUAUGAAUAAGGAUCGGCUAACUCCGUGCCAGCAGCCGCGGUAAUACGGAGGAUUCGAGCGUUAUCCGGAUUUAUUGGGUUUAAAGGGAGCGUAGGUGGGUUGUUAAGUCAGUUGUGAAAGUUUGCGGCUCAACCGUAAAAUUGCAGUUGAAACUGGCAGUCUUGAGUACAGUAGAGGUAGGCGGAAUUCGUGGUGUAGCGGUGAAAUGCUUAGAUAUCACGAAGAACUCCGAUUGCGAAGGCAGCUUACUGGACUGCAACUGACGCUGAGGCUCGAAAGUGUGGGUAUCAAACAGGAUUAGAUACCCCAGUAGUC